UAAUACGAAGGUGGCAAGCGUUGUUCGGAUUCACUGGGCGUACAGGGAGCGUAGGCGGUUGGGUAAGCCCUCCGUGAAAUCUCCGGGCCUAACCCGGAAAGUGCAGAGGGGACUGCUCGGCUAGAGGAUGGGAGAGGAGCGCGGAAUUCCCGGUGUAGCGGUGAAAUGCGUAGAGAUCGGGAGGAAGGCCGGUGGCGAAGGCGGCGCUCUGGAACAUUUCUGACGCUGAGGCUCGAAAGCGUGGGGAGCAAACAGGAUUAGAUACCCUGGUAGUCCACGCCUUAAACUAUGGAUACUAAGUGUCGGCGGUUUACCGCCGGUGCCGCAGCUAACGCAGUAAGUAUCCCGCCUGGGAAGUACGGCCGCAAGGUUGAAACUCAAAUGAAUUGACGG
RNAcentral lists this ribosomal RNA (393 nucleotides) under uncultured nitrite-oxidizing bacterium. Its description in RNAcentral is "bacterial SSU rRNA". It matches the Rfam family "Bacterial small subunit ribosomal RNA", at positions 521 to 916 of the family's 1533-position model. The record is from RNAcentral.